GUGUUUUUAGUCCAAUGGUUAGGAUAAUUUCCUUCCAAAAAAUAGACCCAGGUUUGACUCCCGACAAACGCA
Non-coding RNA from Picea glauca (white spruce), 72 nucleotides. The record is from Rfam. Lineage: Eukaryota; Viridiplantae; Streptophyta; Pinopsida; Pinales; Pinaceae.